This 1139-nucleotide long non-coding RNA is filed under the name Canis lupus familiaris (dog). Its description in RNAcentral is "lncRNA (ENSCAFG00030022207.1)". Lineage: Eukaryota; Metazoa; Chordata; Mammalia; Carnivora; Canidae. The record is from RNAcentral.
AAGGGGCAGCCAGUGGAAGAAAACACUGUUUGGGGCUGGGCAGGGUGUCUCAGAAUCCGGGCCGCACCUGGUUUCACCUGGAGAGCUGGCUGGUCAGUACUCGAACAGAUGCCAGACCUGUAAAGUGGGUCCUUUGAACCUCAAAACCUUGCAGGAGCCUUGGGGAGGCCUUUAGGACCGAGGGGAAUCAUCUCCUCUCGGAGCCAGGCUGCUACCUCGUCCUCGGAGUACCCAGGGGCUCCUCCCACCCCCAGUCUCUGUAGCCCGCACAGUCCCAGACCCUGGCCCCGGGCCACCCACGGACGUGACACCCCCGGGGGGCCUGUCGGCCGGGGGCAAAGUCGGCGGCUGCCUCCGCACGGGGCCGUCCUCGCCCUCGCUGUCACCCUCCCCCGGAGCCCGCGGCCACCGCGGCCGGCGCGCCGGUCACCAGGCUGGGCGAGCCGAGCCGAGCCGAGCCGGGCCGGGCCCCCGCCCCCCCCAGCCCCGUGCGCGCCGCGGGAGUCUCCCCGCACCCGCUCGGUCGCCUGGGGCUGGAGGGCCGGGCCCCGCCCCGUCGCCUCGGCGCGAGCUCUCCGCGGCCCCCUCUGGCGCGCGCGGGGCAGCGGGGGCGCCGGCGGCGAGCUCGGGGCGGGGAGCGGCGCUGGGAGGCGGGGGCGGGGCGCAGGAGGGGAGAGCCGGGAGCCGAGCAGAGGCGGGCGCCGCACCGCCCCGCGCCCCGCAGGCUCGCUGGCUCCGGAGACGCGCGGGCGGCCGCCGGGGCGCACCGGCCGGGUCACCUUGUCCGGGAGAAGUGAUGGCAGCACCUCAAAGGCUUGUUGGACAAUACUCUGAUGCCUUAGAUUUCCUCCCCAAGAAAUAGGCCCCAAGAUAAGAAUUCAAGAGGACCAGUAGAGGAGAGUGGAAGUGAGACAGGAAUGGAAAGUGCCAAAAAAUGGUGCAUUGGACAUCAAGAUAACCCCUCGGCUACUGGGCGAACAGGCCUGCUAGGGCCUUGAGAGAGUGUGCAGGACACCUGCCUCAGACUGUCCCACCAAGAGACAAAGAUGCUGAGCAUUCAUCCAUCAACUUCCCAUCUGUCAUCAGUUGACACUGCACCACAGGCCUUAAUUCCUCUGACGUGGCCUAUGAUAGCCAAA